GGGGAGCGAACAGGAUUAGAUACCCUGGUAGUCCACGCCGUAAACGAUGAGUGCUAAGUGUUAGAGGGUUUCCGCCCUUUAGUGCUGCAGCAAACGCAUUAAGCACUCCGCCUGGGGAGUACGGUCUCAAGACUGAAACUCAAAGGAAUUGACGGGGGCCCGCACAAGCGGUGGCGCAUGUGGUUUAAUUCGAAGCAACGCGAAUAACCUUACCAGGUCUUGACAUCCUCUGACAACCCUAGAGAUAGGGCUUCCCUUCGGGGCAGAGUGACAGGUGGUUGCAUGGUUGUCGUCAGCUCGUGUCGUGAGAUUUGGCUUAAGUCCCGCCAACGAGCGUCAACCCUUGAUCUUAGUUGGCAGCAUUCAGUUGGGCACUCUAAGGUGACUGCCGGUGACAAACCGGAGGAAGGUGGGGAUGACGUCAAAUCAUCAUGGCCUUAUGACCUGGGCUCACACGUGCUACAAUGGGCAGAACAAAGGGCAGCGAAGCCGCCGGCUAAGCCAAUCCCACAAAUCUGUUCUCAGUUCGGAUCGCAGUCUGCAACUCGACUGCGUGAAGCUGGAAUCGCUAGUAAUCGCGGAUCAGCAUGCCGCGGUGAAUACGUUCCCGGGCCUUGUACACACCGCCCGUCACACCACGAGAGUUUGUAACACCCGAAGUCGGUGAGGUAACCUU
This 676-nucleotide ribosomal RNA is filed under the name Bacillus licheniformis. RNAcentral's name for it is "bacterial SSU rRNA". It matches the Rfam family "Bacterial small subunit ribosomal RNA", at positions 763 to 1442 of the family's 1533-position model. Lineage: Bacteria; Bacillati; Bacillota; Bacilli; Caryophanales; Bacillaceae. The record is from RNAcentral.